UGUCAUCUGUUUUGACGUCGCAAAAUGAAUGGUAAUGAAGGCAUAUGGGCAAAUGUGGGCGUUAGCUUUUGGGAAACUUUGUUGUCGCCGCUGCCGCCCCUCUCGUAGAUCCUCCAUCCUCUCCACCGAAUCCCCCCCUCUCUCUCUCCAUCCUUCGAGGAAAGAAGGCCUUUGUUUGACAGUCCCCGACAAACCGACCCCCUGUCGUGCCGAUCCGCAAACCGCAGGCGCAUUCUGGGUGGCCGCACACACACACACACGGAUGAGCGACCGACAACCAAGAAACGUCAGUUUAUUUCCAGCAUUAGAUUUGUCAGUGUAUUAGAAUGUAACUGUAGAAAUAUAGACAUUAAAAACUAAUUAAAAAUUUUGUUUUGUCUAAUUAUGUGUGUGUAGACACGAAGAGGAAGAGAGCUAAGUCAAUUCAGACUAUUUUUCUAUCCAAUUGGUUCAAGCUCUCAGUCAUGUGAACAUGAUGCUAAUUCAAAUGAUGUGAAGAUAAUUGUUAACUUCCUAUUUCAACCCACACUUUAUUUUCAUGUGUACCUUAAAAAUGAUAGAGCCAGAAACUAGAGCAAUUUAAAAAAUCAGAAAAAAUAUGAUUGUCAAAUUUGGGUUUGUAGGCAUGAAGAGGAAGUGUUUCACUAAGAACAUUUAUUAGCCAAUUGAAACUUGUAACCAAUUCUGAAUAAAUUAUCUGGUCAUGAUUUUCAUUUAGAUUAAUAGAUAUGGAAACUUGAUUCAAAGCUAUCAACUGAAAAUCAGCCACCGAUGCCUAAAGCACAACACAAGGUGAGGGCAGCCGAGCAAAAUGGUAGAAGGGCGCAUCAGGACCGACGAGCAACUGUUUUUGCUGGUGCAUCACGAGGAUAUUGUUUUUGUUUUCAUAUACAUCAGAACAUUUAUAAUCAGCAACAAAAUAUUUUUCCUGUCAUUUAUAUCCAGUGCAAAAUGUUUCCCUUGCUUCCAAUGACCCAUAAUGGUUCAUCUAUUCAUUCCAUCUACCGGCGUAGCACAUGCAAAUAUGUAUAUAGAAAGCUGUAACUUGAUAGCAAGCACACAUAGAACAAAAAACAAUUGGGCUGCAACCAUCGGAUCUCAAACUAGUCAACACAAAUCUCUGCAAUAUAGCAACGUGGACCCAUAGUUCUGAGCUUGAAGUCUUUUAACUAUUGAUUGUGAUCGAAAAUCCCCAUGUCUACUGAAACGAUGACAAAAAGAUCAAUGGUUGGAACUGUGCUAUCACCCGGCAUAAUCAAUAGUUCUUAUGGGUUUUAGUGAGACUAUUAAGAAGUAGCAUAUACAACCGAUAGCAUGACAAGGCAUACCCACAUGUGAUAGCCCAAAACAGCCAACACAAAGUGCUUCAUGCAACUGGUCGUUGAGUUCGCAAUGUCUCUCAAGCUCACAAGUUGGUAACAUUUCUGGCUCGCGUCAAAAUUAUGGUCAAAACAUGGUGACACAUUUUGGCCUUUCUUUCUUCCUUUUUCACUCUCUCACGCGAGACUCACUCUUGCCUAUGCUAAGCAAACUUUUAUACUCCUACCGUUGUUGGGUUGAGUGUGACUGUACAAUGUUCCAUAAAUAAAUGCAAUUGAGUUUUGAAGAGUAGGUAAAAGAUAAUAACUUGUAUUAAUUGUUUGUUUCAUUGGUGGCUAUAUGCCACAUAGCACAUGUUUGGUUAAUUACUUGUAUUGGCUUCCCAAGUAUAUAUGUUUUCUUUUUGUUAUUAUUAUAGAUCAGUUUGCACUUUGCACAUCCAAGAAAUACUUAGUUAUUCUGGCUGCUUGAAACCUCAUACACUAGAGUUUCCACUUAACUUACGACUUUUAAAAUGACACUUGACCUCAUACACUUGAAACCUCAUAUGCCUUGGAUAUCCCAUUGUUGUAAUUUGAAGUCUUUUAGGUACUGACCAUGAUAGACAAUGCUCUCAUUUGCCAACUCAUGUGACACCCUAUGCACCUUGCCACAUGCCCUGAGUGGUGAGUGAUGACGAGGUCAGGUCUAUUCUUUCUGGUUUUUAGUUAGACUACUAAGCAGUGUCGCAUCAUCGAUAGCAUGAAACGUCAUGCCCAAAGAUCGUAGUUCGAGACUCACUCUUACCAAUGCUAAGCCAACUUCAUACUUCUACCAUUGUUGGGUUGGGUGUGAGUGUAUAACGUUUCAUAAAUAAAUGCAAUUGAUUGUAGAAGCAAAGGUACAAAAAAUAUAUCAUGAACAUUGUUUCGUAC
RNAcentral lists this long non-coding RNA (2234 nucleotides) under Hordeum vulgare. RNAcentral describes it as "long non-coding RNA (HVUL_LNC017589)". Lineage: Eukaryota; Viridiplantae; Streptophyta; Magnoliopsida; Poales; Poaceae. The record is from RNAcentral.